AUACGGAGGAUGCGAGCGUUAUCCGGAUUCAUUGGGUAUAGAGGGUGCGUAGGCGGCCCCCCAAGUCAGCGGUGAAAUGUCCGGGCCCAACCCGGAGGGUGCCGUUGAUACUGCGGGGCUGGAGUACGGACGCCGGCGGAGGAAUGAGUGGUGUAGCGGUGAAAUGCAUAGAUAUCACUCAGAAAACCGAUUGCGAAGGCAUCCGCCGAGGCCGUUACUGACGCUGAGGCACGAAAGCGUGGGGAUAGAACAGGAUUAGAUACCCUGGUAUUCCACGCCGUAAACGAUGAUGACUAACCGCCGGGGGGAGACUUCCGGCAGCCAAGCGAAAGCGAUAAGUCAUCCACCUGGGGAGUACGGCCGCAAGGCUGAAACUCAAAGGAAUUGGCGGGG
RNAcentral lists this ribosomal RNA (393 nucleotides) under uncultured bacterium. RNAcentral's name for it is "partial 16S ribosomal RNA". It matches the Rfam family "Bacterial small subunit ribosomal RNA", at positions 523 to 918 of the family's 1533-position model. The record is from RNAcentral.